RNAcentral lists this ribosomal RNA (253 nucleotides) under uncultured bacterium. RNAcentral's name for it is "partial 16S ribosomal RNA". It matches the Rfam family "Bacterial small subunit ribosomal RNA", at positions 524 to 776 of the family's 1533-position model. The record is from RNAcentral.
UACGAAGGGGGCUAGCGUUGCUCGGAAUCACUGGGCGUAAAGCGCACGUAGGCGGAUUGUUAAGUCAGGGGUGGAAUCCUGGAGCUCAACUCCAGAACUGCCUUUGAUACUGGCGAUCUCGAGUCCGGGAGAGGUGAGUGGAACUCCGAGUGUAGAGGUGAAAUUCGUAGAUAUCAGGAGGAACACCGGUGGCGAAGGCGGGUCUCUGGGCCGAUAUUGACGCUGAGGAGCGAAAGCGUGGGGAGCAAACAGG